CCCUUAGAUGUCCUGGGCUGCACGCGCGCUACACUGGAAGUUACGGAUUGAGAUACUACCUUGUCCGAAAUAGUCCGGGUAAUCACCUAAAAGCUUGUCAUAAUUGGAAUGGAUUAUUGUAACUAGUAAUCCUGAACGAGGAAUUCCUAGUAAGUCCCAGUCAACAGCUGGUACUGAUUACGUCCCUGCCCUUUGUACACACCGCCCGUCGCUACUACUGAUUGGACGUUUAAGCAAGAUUUUUAAACACUGACAGUGUGUAGUUCACGCUAUACUACAGUGAGAAGAAGAAGAUCGAGCUUACUUGUCUAGAGGAAGUAAAAGUCGUAACA
RNAcentral lists this ribosomal RNA (332 nucleotides) under uncultured eukaryote. RNAcentral's name for it is "partial 18S ribosomal RNA". It matches the Rfam family "Eukaryotic small subunit ribosomal RNA", at positions 1470 to 1796 of the family's 1831-position model. The record is from RNAcentral.